Molecule: ribosomal RNA, 301 nt
Filed under: uncultured bacterium
Lineage: Bacteria
Description: partial 16S ribosomal RNA
Rfam family: Bacterial small subunit ribosomal RNA
Source: RNAcentral
CAGCCGCCGCGGUAAAACGUAGGGUGCAAGCGUUAAUCGGAAUUACUGGGCGUAAAGCGUGCGCAGGCGGUUAUAUAAGACAGAUGUGAAAUCCCCGGGCUCAACCUGGGAACUGCAUUUGUGACUGUAUAGCUAGAGUACGGCAGAGGGGGAUGGAAUUCCGCGUGUAGCAGUGAAAUGCGUAGAUAUGCGGAGGAACACCGAUGGCGAAGGCAAUCCCCUGGGCCUGUACUGACGCUCAUGCACGAAAGCGUGGGGAGCAAACAGGAUUAGAGACCCCUGUAGUCCCUGUCUCUUAUAC